This 401-nucleotide ribosomal RNA is filed under the name uncultured prokaryote. RNAcentral's name for it is "bacterial SSU rRNA". It matches the Rfam family "Bacterial small subunit ribosomal RNA", at positions 355 to 774 of the family's 1533-position model. The record is from RNAcentral.
UGGGGAAUAUUGCACAAUGGGCGAAAGCCUGAUGCAGCAACGCCGCGUGAGCGAAGAAGGCCUUUGGGUCGUAAAGCUCUGUCCUCGGGGAAGAUAAUGACGGUACCCAUGGAGGAAGCCCCGGCUAACUACGUGCCAGCAGCCGCGGUAAUACGUAGGGGGCGAGCGUUAUCCGGAAUUAUUGGGCGUAAAGAGUGCGUAGGUGGUUCUUUAAGCGUGAGGUGAAAGGCAAUGGCUUAACUAUUGUAAGCCUUGCGAACUGGAGAACUUGAGUGCAGGAGAGGUAAGUGGAAUUCCUAGUGUAGCGGUGAAAUGCGUAGAUAUUAGGAGGAACACCAGUGGCGAAGGCGGCUAACUGGACUGUAACUGACGCUGAGGCGCGAAAGUGUGGGGAGCAAACA